Non-coding RNA from Podarcis muralis (Common wall lizard), 1806 nucleotides. NCBI's taxonomy places the organism in Eukaryota, Metazoa, Chordata, Lepidosauria, Squamata, Lacertidae. The record is from RefSeq and is a predicted model, not a curated record.
UUUCCCCGCCGAGGUGACACGAGGGCUGGCUGACUGGACAAGAGGCUGCUGCUCGAGUGGCGACCACGGGCUGUUUUUGUUCGUUUGUUUUUAACCCGAGCGAGGCAGCAGCUUGGGGUGCCAUGCAAAGGGCGGCAGAGCGGGAGGCGGUCAUAGUUGCCUCACCCGGCACAGUCCGGCGGGAGAUUAUCCCGCGCAAAUCUCAGCGAAAAAUGCGCGGCAGCUACGGAGGAGAAUUGCACGGCCCCGGUUGAGCUCUUCUUGCUCAGCAGCCCGUCGGAAAACGCGGCGGGUGGAAAAAUCAAUCUACUCCAAGAAGGAAUUGCUUUGCUGCCCGAGCCCGGCAACCAGGAGGGCAAGGCCAGUGAUCUAUGCACAUGUCACAACAGGCAUCUUAAAAGAGCCAUUUCUUCCUUUGGAUGAGAAAAGGGGAGCUGCUUUUGAGAAGAGCCUGCUACUGUGGUUUUUGUGAAGAAUGGAUUACAAAAGUUAUAAAAUACCUAACUACUACAACAAAAACAUCUGCUGUGCUAGGUCAGACUAAAAAGCACAUUUGCUGUCUGUAACAAUAGCAAACCAGAUGCCCUGGGAAUACUCACUAACAGGGCAAAAAGCACUCAUUGCCUGUGGUUUGUCCUCAGCUUAAAUACAUAGGAAUUGCUAUGCUGGCUUACACCAAAGGACCCUCCAACUCUGCAUUGUGCUUAGCCAAUGAAAUUACUUCUGGUAUAUACAGAACCGGCAUCCACACAAACGAUUUUGGAGCAGCAGUCACAUGCAGCCAUGAAUAAGAGUAGUCAAUGGGCACUGAAAGAUGGAGAAGGGUUGAAGCUGAAUAAGCACCAUGGAGAGAGGCAGUCACCUGCUCAGGACAUUGAAGCUCCACUUCUUGUGCACUGAAUGCAUUGUCCAGUCUAUACGUUUAAGGCAGCAUUGGACAAAGCUACCCGACCAUUCUCAAAACGUUUCUCUCCAGCCACAAGGGCUGGACAUGCAAUCCUUUGAGAUCUUAGUCAAAUGUAUAGGGACAGCAGGGCUCUUUUCAAAUACAUCUCAUUGGUCUGCACUCAGUAAAACAGAGGAGAAAACAGCCAUUUUUUAAAAUGUGGGCUACAGGUGCCCCUUAUAUAGAAUCAUAGACAUAUAGGAGUCAACUCCUAGGGACUGAGGUUCCUUCAACCACAAUAAAAUAUUUGAGGGGGCUGCCCCCCAAGGUGAUGGGCAUUGCCAUUCAAAUACUGUGCCGCAUCUUGCGAUCGAUUGUGCAGGGCGGAGAUUACCUCUCCCCCCCCCAUAUUUUAUUCAAGCUGGCACCCCUGAUCAUAGAAUUGUAGAGCUAGGCAUGUUACAGCUGCAUCAUGGGAGCAGUUUUGGGGGGUUAAGUCCAUGCUGCUACUGUAACUUUUACAGGCCCAGCAGUAUGGGGGUCCAUUUCUCCCUCUGUUCUUAGCCAAGUGACAAUAGGGUGGGAAGAACCUAUGCAGCUGGCCUUUUGCAGAAGACACUGGGCCUUUAAAUAUUAAGGCAAAAAUGUGGGGCGAUACCACAAACAAGCAGCUCCUAUGCUGCUGUGUUAACAAGGGGCACCAUACAGAUGUAAGUCAAAGCAAAGGGAAACAGAGAUACAUACCGGUAUAUCACAAUGGAACAGCAUGGGAAAAUACCACAGUAUCUGAACAGAUAAUAAAUACUCCGUCACCACAGAAAUAGAAUUAGGGCUAAAAGCGGCUUAUACUAACUCAUUCUGAUUGUCAUGUACAAAAGAAAACUUAAGUCUGUAGGGAUAAUAAAUCUACCUUUUGUGAU